AUAUUCUACCGCGUGGAGAGGAA
This 23-nucleotide unclassified non-coding RNA is filed under the name Arabidopsis thaliana (thale cress). Lineage: Eukaryota; Viridiplantae; Streptophyta; Magnoliopsida; Brassicales; Brassicaceae. The record is from RNAcentral.